RNAcentral lists this ribosomal RNA (439 nucleotides) under uncultured bacterium. Its description in RNAcentral is "partial 16S ribosomal RNA". It matches the Rfam family "Bacterial small subunit ribosomal RNA", at positions 339 to 795 of the family's 1533-position model. The record is from RNAcentral.
CUACGGGCCGCUGCAGUGAGGAAUAUUGCACAAUGGGGGGAACCCUGAUGCAGCAACGCCGCGUGGAGGAUGACGCAUUUCGGUGUGUAAACUCCUUUUAUAUGUCAAGAAAAUGACGGUAGCAUAUGAAUAAGCACCGGCUAACUCCGUGCCAGCAGCCGCGGUAAUACGGAGGGUGCAAGCGUUACUCGGAAUCACUGGGCGUAAAGGACGCGUAGGCGGGGUGGAAAGUCAGGUGUGAAAUCCUACAGCUUAACUGUAGAACUGCACUUGAAACUUCUAAUCUAGAGUAUGGGAGGGGGAGAUGGGAUUAGUGGUGUAGGGGUAAAAUCCGUAGAUAUCACUAGGAAUACCUAAAGCGAAGGCGAUCUCCUGGAACAUUACUGACGCUAAGGCGUGAAAGCGUGGGGAGCAAACAGGAUUAGAUACCCCUGUAGUC